AAAGGGAGACCUAAUUCGGGUAGGAGACGAAAAAAAAGUAGUCGCUACCAAGAAUCAAUCCCAAAAGGUCGGAGCGAGGCGAAAUUGGCUUUCAAACUAGGUUCUGGGUUCACACAAGACCUGAAUCAGGAACAAGGGCUAUUAGCUCAGGUGGUUAGAGCGCACCCCUGAUAAGGGUGAGGUCCCUGGUUCGAGUCCAGGAUGGCCCACCUGCACAGGUGGCAAAAACAAGAGAAGCUCCGAAUCAGCACCUUAUCUUACUGACAUAGUAAGAGAGAAUGCUGGCUCUGAGUAAAGAGUCCAGAGGAACCUUGAAAACUGCAUAGAGCUAGGUGAAAAAGCCAAAAAAGAAGACCGCAAG
Molecule: transfer RNA, 361 nt
Filed under: uncultured Microcystis sp.
Lineage: Bacteria; Bacillati; Cyanobacteriota; Cyanophyceae; Chroococcales; Microcystaceae
Description: partial 16S-23S ribosomal RNA intergenic spacer
Rfam family: tRNA (bases 136-209)
Source: RNAcentral